GGAGCAGGCUCCCUGCAAGGAGCCCGUUGCAGGACUUGAUCCCAGGACCCCGCUAUAACAACCUGAGCCGAAGGCAGACGCUCAACCACUGAGCCAUCCAGGUGCCCCCAAUUUAAAUUUUGAUACCAUCUUGUGAAACAUGAGAAAUAUAAAGAAUAUAUAAAUCAUCUCCACAGUGUUCCAGAGAUGAGCAUCAAAUCCAUUUUGUUAUUAGCUCUGUUAGGACAAUAUUCCUUCUUUCCAGUAGUUAAUAUUCAGUCAUAUUCCUUUCACCGAGCUCCAACCUCAGCUCUGCAUCUAGUCAUUGUGUUUCUUUAUAUUUUGCAUGUUUGAUGACAUGAUUGACCCCUGUGGUUUGGCUGAGACUUAAGCUAACAAGUGGUAGUUAAGUGCUUAGCAGAUAGGAGAUGCUCAACAAAUACUUGAUGAAUGAAUUAUAAGAUUUUAGCUCUGCAGAAUGGAAGGUUUCCAUUCUCAGCCAAAUAAUUUCAAAGGUAUCGAUUACAAAACUGUUUCCUAAAUGUGUUUCAUGAAAAACUAAUUUCUCAGAAUAUUAAGUUUUAAGGUCAAAAAGUAUUUUGACCAAGUAAGUUAUGGAAGUGCCCAGUUAAAUAAAAGUAAUUAAAUUUCUGUAUUGCAAGACUUCUCAGAGACUUUAUUGUAAUAUGUCUUAAGAAUCUCUGAGAGAAGUUAGUAUGUAGACUUUUCCAAGAUUAUUUGACCAUAGAACUCUCUCCUCAGCAACCACCUUUCUCUAUCUAAGUAUCCCCUGGACUAGUUAUGAAGAACAUGUAUUAGGAGAUAUUGAAAUAGAGAGGCACAUAAAAAUCUAUAGACAAAAAAAAACGUUGAUGGAUUUGGGUGUUUUUUUGGGGAAAAGUAUCCUUUUUAGGAGUUUCUAGGAUGUCAAAAGAGUCAAGAAUCUUUGUUAAUUCCUGGUCCACAGUUGGGAUGCUAGAGUGGAAAAUUUUGGAGAAUGUGGGACAUUUUUCAGAAAAAAAUAUAUGGGGUGAGGAAGAUUAUGAGUCAGAGGCAGUUAGUCAUUGCAUUGUCUAUACGUUAUUAAAGUUUAUGUAAUUUCUUCUUGAAUUCUCACGGGGAAAAAGAGUUAUCUGUGUGUGGGGAGUGGGACAUGAAAGUGGGAGGUGUGGAAGGAUAGAGAUCUUGUUCCUCUCAUUCUAGAAGAUAUUAUCCAUUUCCAUGUCUUGUCCACCCCCCCCCCCCUCCACUCCCCAACCCCUGGUUUAAGGGCAGGAUGUGGCCCUUGAUUAACUUUUGUACCAGCAGCAUCUCUUACUGGGGCACAGUAGAUGCUUAGUAGAUGUUUGAACUGAAUUGAAGUAAGAGGAUUGGUGAAAUGAUUCAGGGCUUGGGUUCUUGCCUUUACCAAAAUGGCAAGAUUGUAGCUCCUUCCUCCUCCUUGGGUGUGUAAUCUUGGGUAACAGGAUCACUCCACUUCUGAGGAUAUUUUGUUGACAUUGUCACAUGGCGUUUCAGGGUAUUCUGUACCAUGUUUCACCAGAGUGGAUACCAAAACACCUUCUAAAAAAAAAAAAAAAAACAAAAAAAAACCCAAAACUCCGUAGUUGUUCUUUUUAGGACAGCCCACUUAAGAGAUUGCAAAGUUUACAAUUCUAGAAAAGGAGGAGAAAACUGGCAGAACAACUAGAAGAAAAUUAUGAAAGCCUUUAUUUCCAAAGAAUUAGGAGGCUUAAUGAUAAUAUCAAAUGAAAUGAUAUUCCAUCCCUUUCUACAGCUUUUCCUGAAAGAGGAAGCUUGACUCAUUUCAAGUCAGAUCGCAGAAUAAUAUCAUUACAACAGUAGCUAAUAAGCUUCUUACAGAAAUAAGACUCCUAGAAAAAAACAUUCAAAAUUAGUUGAUAAUGUGAAUGUACUAUAUGAACUUUGAAUCUGGUUGAAACAAUAUUUAAUGAAAGUAUUAUGAAAUCUUAGAUGGAGAGCAUUUUAACUUAUUUAACAACUGAAUAGCUAUUGUGACAAAGUAUGAUGCUUGUCACUAUGGUACAAAGAUAUGUAAUAUGUGUCUUAUACCUUCCAAGUUGUUUGUAGUUGAGUUAGAGUGACAGGCACGUACGAGGAUAAUGAAGUGGGUGGCAGUGGCAGGUCAGGGGGAAGAUCUGAAUGCCGCUGACUGGGGAGCAUGUGGAUUUCACUCACGUGCUGGCACUAGCAUAGUGAUGUGAACACGCGGACUUCCCAGCCCAGGCAUUGGGUUGGCUUUGAGAAUCUGAAGCGGGAUGUGUCUGUGUCUGCAGAUAGGCAAAUUCGUAAGUAUUUAAAUGAGUCAUUUUGAUAGAAUGGUCAGUUCCAAAGGAUUCCUUAAAGGAGACUCCCUCAGUGCUUAUUAAGAAAAUGAGUCAGGGAGAUCUGGACAUCACACGCAUUCUAGCAUCUUCUGACAAAUAUAUUUCAUUUCUCGCAAAUUCUUCAACAUUUAGAAUAAAAUUGACACAGCCACUUCACAAAAUCAUGUGAUCUAGGAAGAAGACCAUGAACCCUGACAGAAUGACUCAAAUCCUGACUCAAAUAUUUAGUUCCUGAUUGACAGUUGAGGGAUAUUUCUUACUUUCUCUAUGCCUCUAACCCAAAGGAUUAUUGUGAGAGCAGUAAUAUAUGUAAAGUCAGGCUCUUUCCUUACCUCCUCUUAUGGAAACCUGGACUUCUCUUCUACAGCACACCUGGCAGUUUGUAAUUCAGUAAUUAUGAAGCCAGCUCUUUCGUAUGUGUCUCCUCUGCCUUCUGCUGGGAGAUGUGCUUCCGGAAGGAAGGAAGCAACCUCUCCUCUUUACCUGUGGUGUUCCAGGCACCUGGCACAUCCAUGAGUUGGUGCCGCCUGGGCGAAGUCCCAACAGUAUGUGGUGUAGACUCCCCGAUUUAUAAACAUUGCUUCCCUUCUUUCUCAUACACGGAAUAUGACAGUUUUCUUUUCCCUGUUCUGUUCCUAGGAGUUUGGCGAAUUUCUCUGCUCCUCCUAUAAUACAUGAUAUUACUGGCAUAUUGGUUACUUCUGACACUUCCUAGGGGCUCUUCCUAGUAGCACGGAUCUUCUUAACAACAUCGACAUCAAAUUCUUCUUGAACUAAAAGCAUAAUCUCUCCUACUUUUACCUGUCCUUACAAUGGUAUUUUUCCUGAAUUGUUUCUUAGAGAUAAAAAAAGGUAACUUCCGGGUCUACUUAUAGUAUUUUGAAAUAGUCUACUUAUAGUAUUUUGAAAAUGUUUAUUUCAUUUUGCUUAAGUUCACAGGAUGAAUAUGGUACCUUCAGACCGCUAUUAUACUGCUCCUUAUUGCAGGUAUUAAGUAAGAAACCUAAACCCUGCAGCAGAUGUCUACAUUCUAUUUACCCAAAGGCAGAAGGAAAAUUAAAGUUCUGUGUCCCCUGAGCAGUCUGGCUGGCUGGCACUGUCCUUGCUCUCUAGGAAUUGCUGUCUGAAAUGUAUAUAUAGCAUGAUGCAUCUCGGCAAUCUGCAAAAUAGGAUUUGGUGACAAAAACCUCAACUAUGUGGUGGAACAAGAAUUCAAACACAGGCCUCCCUGCUUCUGGUGCCCAUAAACUUUUAUCUUCAAGGGAUCACCAAAAUAUAAACUCCAGUACCAACCAAACUUGAGUCUAUCCAUGGAAUCGUAGAAAAAGAAUAAUCACAUAAUUGCUGCCAGAUUCCAUCAAAGAGCUCUUUAUUCAGGGAAGAUGCUGCCUUGCCCAGCUUAUGUGAGUUUCCCUGUGACUUCUCAGAAAUAUCAUUUGUGUAGAAUGAAGUCUGUGUCUGCCCAUUAGAAUAAGAUUCCAUUAAAUAACUAAAUCAUA
This is a long non-coding RNA of Canis lupus familiaris (dog), 3826 nucleotides long. RefSeq lists it as uncharacterized. NCBI's taxonomy places the organism in Eukaryota, Metazoa, Chordata, Mammalia, Carnivora, Canidae. The record is from RefSeq and is a predicted model, not a curated record. The transcript has 4 exons.